RNAcentral lists this ribosomal RNA (424 nucleotides) under uncultured Marinilabiliaceae bacterium. Its description in RNAcentral is "bacterial SSU rRNA". It matches the Rfam family "Bacterial small subunit ribosomal RNA", at positions 355 to 776 of the family's 1533-position model. Lineage: Bacteria; Pseudomonadati; Bacteroidota; Bacteroidia; Marinilabiliales; Marinilabiliaceae. The record is from RNAcentral.
UGAGGAAUAUUGGUCAAUGGACGCAAGUCUGAACCAGCCAUGUCGCGUGCAGGACGACGGCCCUAUGGGUUGUAAACUGCUUUUGUACGGGAAGAAAAAUGACCACGUGUGGUCACUUGCCGGUACCGUACGAAUAAGGAUCGGCUAACUCCGUGCCAGCAGCCGCGGUAAUACGGAGGAUCCGAGCGUUAUCCGGAUUUAUUGGGUUUAAAGGGUGCGUAGGCGGAAUGGUAAGUCAGGGGUGAAAUACUGCAGCUCAACUGUAGGAUUGCCUUUGAUACUGUCAUUCUUGAGUACAGUUGAGGUAGGCGGAAUGUGGUGUGUAGCGGUGAAAUGCUUAGAUAUACCACAGAACACCGAUUGCGAAGGCAGCUUACUAAGCUGAAACUGACGCUGAUGCACGAAAGCGUGGGUAUCAAACAGG